CCUACGGGUGGCAGCAGUGGGGAAUAUUGGACAAUGGGGGGAACCCUGAUCCAGCGACGCCGCGUGAGUGAAGAAGUAUUUCGGUAUGUAAAGCUCUAUCAGCAGGGAAGAAAGAAAUGACGGUACCUGACUAAGAAGCCCCGGCUAACUACGUGCCAGCAGCCGCGGUAAUACGUAGGGGGCAAGCGUUAUCCGGAUUUACUGGGUGUAAAGGGAGCGUAGACGGCGAUGCAAGUCUGAAGUGAAAGGCGGGGGCCCAACCCCUGGACUGCUUUGGAAACUGUAUGGCUGGAGUACAGGAGAGGUAAGUGGAAUUCCUAGUGUAGCGGUGAAAUGCGUAGAUAUUAGGAGGAACACCAGUGGCGAAGGCGGCUUACUGGACUGUAACUGACGUUGAGGCUCGAAAGCGUGGGGAGCAAACAGGAUUAGAUACCCCAGUAGUC
Molecule: ribosomal RNA, 443 nt
Filed under: uncultured bacterium
Lineage: Bacteria
Description: partial 16S ribosomal RNA
Rfam family: Bacterial small subunit ribosomal RNA
Source: RNAcentral